UACGAAGGGGGCGAGCGUUGUUCGGAAUGACUGGGCGUAAAGGGCGCGCAGGCGGCGCGACAAGUUGGGCGUGAAAGCCCCGGGCUCAACCCGGGAAUGGCGCGCGAUACUGUCGGGCUGGAGUUCGGGAGAGGAGCGUGGAAUUCCCAGUGUAGAGGUGAAAUUCGUAGAUAUUGGGAAGAACACCGGUGGCGAAGGCGGCGCUCUGGACCGAGACUGACGCUGAGGCGCGAAAGCGUGGGGAGCAAACAGG
Molecule: ribosomal RNA, 253 nt
Filed under: uncultured bacterium
Lineage: Bacteria
Description: partial 16S ribosomal RNA
Rfam family: Bacterial small subunit ribosomal RNA
Source: RNAcentral